GAUGAAGAACGUAGCGAAAUGCGAUAAGUAGUGUGAAUUGCAGAAUUCAGUGAAUCAUCGAAUCUUUGAACGCACAUUGCGCCUCCUGGCAUUCCGGGAGGCAUGCCUGUUCGAGCGUCAUCAAACCCCAUCGUGCAAAUGAAUUAUUUUUUUUGCGCGGAAGUGACGAUUGAGCGAGAAUAACAAAUCCUCUCGCACCUCGUCGAAAUGAUUGCGGGCGGAAUUUGGGAUCGGGUUCCUCGGCGGAGUGUAUCAAUGCAUAUUUAUGCAACUUGCCGCGGAGUUGAGCCUGACCCACGCGUUCUCGCCGUACAAACACCUCAUUACUUUACAAGUUUUUGACCUCGGAUCAGGUAGGGAUACCCGCUGAACUUAAGCAUAUCAAUAAGCGGAGGA
Molecule: unclassified non-coding RNA, 396 nt
Filed under: soil metagenome
Description: partial contains 5.8S ribosomal RNA, internal transcribed spacer 2, and large subunit ribosomal RNA
Rfam family: 5.8S ribosomal RNA (bases 1-120)
Source: RNAcentral